GGGUGCAAGCGUUACUCGGAAUUACUGGGCGUAAAGCGUGCGUAGGUGGUUGUUUAAGUCUGUUGUGAAAGCCCUGGGCUCAACCUGGGAACUGCAGUGGAAACUGGACAACUAGAGUGUGGUAGAGGGUAGCGGAAUUCCCGGUGUAGCAGUGAAAUGCGUAGAGAUCGGGAGGAACAUCCAUGGCGAAGGCAGCUACCUGGACCAACACUGACACUGAGGCACGAAAGCGUGGGGAGCAAACAGGAUUAGAUACCCUGGUAGUCCACGCCCUAAACGAUGCGAACUGGAUGUUGGGUGCAAUUUGGCACGCAGUAUCGAAGCUAACGCGUUAAGUUCGCCGCCUGGGGAGUACGG
Molecule: ribosomal RNA, 357 nt
Filed under: Stenotrophomonas sp.
Lineage: Bacteria; Pseudomonadati; Pseudomonadota; Gammaproteobacteria; Lysobacterales; Lysobacteraceae
Description: bacterial SSU rRNA
Rfam family: Bacterial small subunit ribosomal RNA
Source: RNAcentral